GACGAACGCUGGCGGCGCGCUUAACACAUGCAAGUAGAACGAAGUGGCCAACGGGUGAGUCAUACGCGGGUAACCUGCCCUCCUGUUUGGGAUCAGCCUUGGAAACGGUGUCUAAUACCGACAACAGGGGGAGGGGCUCGCGGCCUAUCAGCUUGUUGGUGGGGUGAUGGCCUACCAAGGCGGUGACGGGUAGCCGGCCUGAGAGGGUGACCGGCCACAUUGGGACUGGUAUACGGCCCGGACUGCUACGGGAGGCAGCAGUGGGGGAGAUGUCACAAUGGGCGAACGCCUGAUGCAGGGACGCCGCGUGGGGGUUGAAUGCUAUGGGGUUGUAAACCUCUUUCGCUAUCGAGCGUGGAGGUGGGGGAGGGGCGCCGGCUAACUACGUGCCAGCAGCCGCGGUAAUAC
RNAcentral lists this ribosomal RNA (408 nucleotides) under uncultured bacterium. RNAcentral's name for it is "partial 16S ribosomal RNA". It matches the Rfam family "Bacterial small subunit ribosomal RNA", at positions 28 to 526 of the family's 1533-position model. The record is from RNAcentral.